RNAcentral lists this small nucleolar RNA (123 nucleotides) under Saimiri boliviensis boliviensis (Bolivian squirrel monkey). RNAcentral describes it as "U8 small nucleolar RNA (ENSSBOG00000003590.1)". It matches the Rfam family "U8 small nucleolar RNA". From Rfam's summary of the family: U8 is a member of the C/D class of snoRNA which contain the C (UGAUGA) and D (CUGA) box motifs. The record is from Rfam by way of RNAcentral. Lineage: Eukaryota; Metazoa; Chordata; Mammalia; Primates; Cebidae.
CAGUCAGGUGGGAUAACGCUGACCUGUUCCUCCUCCUGGAGGGCAGUGGAAUGUGGUCAUCGGGGCUGCAGGAUACUUGACUAACAUCUCUGUGUAAUGACAGCUUGCAGUAUCCUGACUGAU